UACGGGGGGGGCAAGCGUUGUUCGGAAUUACUGGGCGUAAAGCGCGUGUAGGCGGCAGGGCAAGUCGGAUGUGAAAGCCCACGGCUCAACCGUGGAAGUGCACCCGAAACUGCCUCGCUAGAGUCUCGGAGAGGAAGGUGGAAUGCUUGGUGUAGAGGUGAAAUUCGUAGAUAUCAAGCGGAACACCGGUGGCGAAGGCGGCCUUCUGGACGAUGACUGACGCUGAGACGCGAAAGCGUGGGGAGCAAACAGG
This 253-nucleotide ribosomal RNA is filed under the name uncultured bacterium. RNAcentral describes it as "partial 16S ribosomal RNA". It matches the Rfam family "Bacterial small subunit ribosomal RNA", at positions 524 to 776 of the family's 1533-position model. The record is from RNAcentral.